This 128-nucleotide ribosomal RNA is filed under the name uncultured eukaryote. RNAcentral describes it as "partial small subunit ribosomal RNA". It matches the Rfam family "Eukaryotic small subunit ribosomal RNA", at positions 1651 to 1802 of the family's 1831-position model. The record is from RNAcentral.
CCCUGCCCUUUGUACACACCGCCCGUCGUUUCUUCCGACUGAUACUCAUUGUGAGUUGCAAGGACCCUUCAUUGGGAAAUUGCUGCGAAUGCUUUGUAUUGGAGGAAGAAAAAGUCGUAACAAGGUUA